AAUCUGAGUCACGGUAGUGCAUUUUCCCUGUUUCAGUGUUGGUUUUGUAAAUUCUGUUGUAGCUACGAAAACGAACAGGGAAACAGCACUCAGAAAGGACAAGGUGUAGCAGAACAUCUCCGGACAUCUAUUUACCAUGACGACCUACAGUAAAAUGAGACAACUCGUCAUGGAUUUCAAUAUUUAUUGGUAUGAGGACGGCGACAUUUUCCUUGGAGUUGAUGAUCCUGGGUAACGUCCCGCAUGCCGCACACAUCAUCACCCGAUUGAGACCAGGAAUCGCCAGCGUUGGCUGGCUGUUCGACAUCGGACCAGUGAUCGCCAGUCAUUUCGUCGUCGGUGGUGGCAGGUAGUUUUCCGGAACCCAAGUCCUUCUACGACUUCCAGAAGGUUGCAACAGUCGGUCCAACGUGUCCGAAGGAUCAUCGUCGUCAUCAUUGCAUCAGUGUACAAGUAAGCAUCAUGUCUUCGUCGAUCUUGCAUAAACUUGACAAGUUAAAGAAAUGUGGAGAGUUUCAAAAAAUGGCGACAAUUCCUAAAAACAUCAAGUAUGAUGUGGUUGAUGUUAACAAAAUUGAAACGAGGUAUGGCGAGGCGGUCUACGUAGAAAUUAUGAAGGAUCACGAGCACGUAAAGGUGUUCCUUCCAGCUCGGUUUCAUAAACUAAGCACUCAAGACAUCGAAGACAUGAGGAACACGAGCGGACUCUGGAUGGAGAAGAAAGAGCGAGUUGGAAAAGAGGGGAAACGUCUUCUUUCGCCAGACAUCGUGUUCGGUCAAUCCGAGUAAAAAAAUAAAAAGAAAUGGUGACAUGCCACCUUUGUCCUCCGGCCGAUCGGCAGCACUACACAACAGCGCUGGGACUUCAAGUUCAUCUGGCUAACGUUCAUAACCUUGCAACACCCUGUAUCCCAUUUUGUGAGACACUCUGUACGCUCCGCAACUAUACCAACCGCUAUGAGCUUCAUCUACAUGACAGAGACGACGACGGGCAGGAUGUCA
Ornithodoros turicata is the source of this 1002-nucleotide long non-coding RNA. RefSeq lists it as uncharacterized. Lineage: Eukaryota; Metazoa; Arthropoda; Arachnida; Ixodida; Argasidae. The transcript has 3 exons. The record is from RefSeq and is a predicted model, not a curated record.